This is a long non-coding RNA of Oreochromis niloticus (Nile tilapia), 2231 nucleotides long. RefSeq lists it as uncharacterized. The transcript is spliced from 2 exons. Lineage: Eukaryota; Metazoa; Chordata; Actinopteri; Cichliformes; Cichlidae. The record is from RefSeq and is a predicted model, not a curated record.
CUCUGCUGGAUGGACUCUGAGGAGAAACACAAGCAAACAACAGAGGACUCAGUGUGGAGAUGGGUGAGGAGAAGAAGCUGGUUCUACCUGUAACACUGGUAUGAUCAUGCCUCAUGACAGUGGAGUUUACUGGUGUGAGUCCAGAGAGGGUCCCAUCAGUAACAUGGUUAACCUCACAGUCACUGGUGUUUUACACAUAUAAACACAUAAAUAAGAUGGAACCAGCACAAUUAUGUACAUGAUUUCCAUAGCCAGUAAUAAAGCGUAAAGCACAACGGUAGACUGUAUCCAACCUCUUUAUGUGGGCAGGUGUAUUCAUAAAAAGCAGGUCACUGUAAUCAAAUAAAGGUAAAAAAAAGUUGCAUGAAUCAAGUGUUUUUUCACUUGGAGGGAGAAAAAGGAUUGAUUUCUAAAAAAGUAACUUAGUUUUAGUUUUAACUUAGAAACAAGCCUUUGAAUGUGAGUUUUAGAUGACAAAUUCUGAUUUAUAAUGAUACCUGGAUACUUGUAAGAUGUAACCAUUUCAAUUACAGUUCCUUAGUUUUAAUCUCAGUAGAUGUAGUUAACAGCUCUUUGGCAUUUGAGAAUAACGUGAAGUUGGAUUUCUCUACAUUUAACAGAGAAGAAGAAUCAAGUCCCAUUUAAGUUGAGUUAAAUGGGAGUGAACAACUUUUAUUGCACAGAAAGUCAUCCAGCUGCGAACAACACAGUUAUGAGAGCUGAAGAUGUGAGUUAUGGUCAAAUCAUCAUCAAACAGAAGAAAAACAAGACAAAAGACAUCUGAUCUUUGUCUCCAUCAUGUUUCAGUUCUACGCAAUAACCCCUUGGUUUAAGCUAAAUGCUAACAUUAGAAUGGUAACAGGCUGCUGUUUAGUAAGCGUUACGUUAAGCAUGUUCAUCAUAGUAGUGGGUAACAUUUCCUUGUGAGCUGUAUAAAUCUGUGUAUUGCAAUUACAUUGUCUUAAUAUUCUAAUAAACAAUCUAAUUAGCUUGCGUACAUACAAUAAAUCCAUUCAUUAAUUCAUUCAUUUUCUACUGCUUAUCUGGAUCGAGGAGGAAACCGUCUAAGCAGAAAUCUGGAUCCCCCUCUCCUUAGCCAAGUCCUCUAGCUUUUCUGGUGAAAUGCCUCACUGUUCCAGUAUUGCUAAGCCAAGUCCAGACUGGUGUUUAGAAACAGUCAGAGCCCUUUCUCCAACCCAAAAGCUGAGGGAACCAACGGUGUCCUCCACCUUUGGUAGUGACGUUACUGAGUAAUAUGUUCCACACCAUUCCCGAUGAGUCUGAAAUCAUUCGGGUACACACACUAAUUACCAAGAUCAAAUUCUUGUUAAUGUAUAAAAAGGUAUACUCAACAAACUAAAUGUCUUUUGAUAUGAUAUUUUGACUUAUUUAAACAAGCAUCCUGUUUUUUAUUUCAGUAAAUUUAAGCCGAAGAGGAUUCUCACUUGUGUAUUUUGUGGUUUGGCAGAUAAUAACAGCAUAUUUGCUUUGUGCUCUGUGGUGAAGUGCAUCAGUUUGCAUUAGAAUAAACAUAGCAGCAUUGUGGUCGUCUACCUUCUUUUUCACCCAAACACCCACCAGUAAAGAACUGGUAAAGGUUCUUUACUGGUCAACUGUUGCUUGCAGCAGAGGCAUGAAGUGGGGAAAAAAAACCUGUGAAAACCUGAUGCUCAUUUAAUAUUUUUUUAAAUGAAGCAUGUAACAAAAACAUAUUGCCAUAGCUGUAGUGUUAUAAUACAGUAUUACAGUACUACGGCAAUUGAUGUUGUUGAAGUAAUUUAAGUGUUUUAUUGUGCAGAGACUAAUCCAGCUGCAGUCUCCUCAGAGGUGGGAACUGAAGACAUAAGUUACAGACAAAUGGUCAUCAGACUAAAGACUCUUAGAGACUUUAAACCAGAGCCAGACGUCAUCUACUCUUCACUGAAGUAGUCCACCAAUCCAACCACUGACAUCCACUGCUGGUCUCUGAUUGGUCCUCUCAGCAUCUCAAGAGUACAACUGCUUGUUGAAAUACUUUUAUAUAUUUUGCGCCUUUUUCUCACUGAACCUUACUCAAAUGACUCAAAAAGGACAUAUUUUUAACAGAAUUUUCUGCCAAGUAGGCAAUGAUCAUAUAAAUGUGUUAAUAUACUUUAUUAACUUUAUUGUUAUGUAAAUGUUAUUUAUGCUCGGUGACUUAUGACUGCACUCUGGUUUCUUUGGCAGAUUAAUAAACCUCAGUUCUUGUAUAA